GCAAACUUGGUCAUUUAGAGGAAGUAAAAGUCGUAACAAGGUAACCGUAGGUGAACCUGCGGUUGGAUCAUUAGUAAACCAAUUGUUUGGAAGGUGGUCAAACACCUUUUCCGAAACCAUCCUGUGCACCGUAGCCUUUUUUUUUUCGGAUGGGUCCUCGACCCACCCGGAUCAAUGUUUCCACGUUUUCGAAUUGCCUUUGAGUUUCUGAUGACUUGUUGCAAGUUUUGAAUUGCAAAUUCCAACGAACAACUUUUGGCAACGGAUCUCUUGGCUCUCGCAUCGAUGAAGAACGCAGC
Molecule: unclassified non-coding RNA, 299 nt
Filed under: uncultured fungus
Lineage: Eukaryota; Fungi
Description: partial contains small subunit ribosomal RNA, internal transcribed spacer 1, and 5.8S ribosomal RNA
Rfam family: Eukaryotic small subunit ribosomal RNA (bases 1-73)
Source: RNAcentral